Molecule: non-coding RNA, 751 nt
Organism: Arachis ipaensis
Lineage: Eukaryota; Viridiplantae; Streptophyta; Magnoliopsida; Fabales; Fabaceae
Source: RefSeq, a predicted model, not a curated record
CGUAUAUAUUUUUUCUAGUCUUAUGUUUCUUAUUUUAUACGUACUGUUAGUAUCUAAUACGUGUACUCCCUAACCAAUUAAACCCACACACGCACCAGUAUACUCAUCUCCUCCUUAUAACCCCACGUUUAUCCACUCUCACAAUUUAUCUUCAAAAGAACGUAUAUCAUAUAUAUGUUGAUAGCAAAAUAAAAGGGGAAGGCAAAAAUUAGAGUGGGAGUGACGGAGAGGGAGAGUCCGAACCAAAGGGAGCCAGAGGAUGAGAAGGAGAGGAGAGGGGAAGGGAAGGAAGAGGCGUUGCUGGUGAUGAACACAGCCACCGUCGCCGCUGUCUGACCGCCACACCACCAAACCCUAGCCGUCAUAGAGGAGAGGGUGAUCGAAGUAGAGAAGCACCGCGUGAAGGAGGGAAGUUCCAUCGCCGGCGCUGCUGUUAGUGGAAGCCGCUACCACCACAGCGGGAAAAACGAACAUGGGAGAAGAGGUUUCGUUGAUGAUGUCACAGAGGAAGAGGACGAGACAUGUGUGAGAGAGUGACGCACCGAGGAGGGACCAUUCCUCUGCCGCCGGAAUUUCUGGUUGCCGCCAUGAUUAAUGUUUGUCCCAAUUGGAGCCACUGGCGAUGGUGUUGCCGUUGCCGGAAGCCAACGCCGGGCUGUUGCUGGUUCUGAUUCUAUUAUCUUGGUACUGGUCUAAUCUUUUCUUUGGGAAUUGUCCAUUUGCACGCUCUGUUUUGGCACUGGUAUAGUUG